CACACAUCAAACGGGCUUUUGGUCGACACAGUUGUGAAUAAUGAAGAAAUUGUGAAACUCCAUCAUGACCUCACAUCUGGUGCAGUGAAAUCACAAAGAAUGUUUUUACACAAGCAUCCGAAUUAUGCACCCACACUGAAAAAUCUGUGCAAACUACGUAUCUCAGUGUUUGACGAAGAACAGACUGAUGGAAUCAUUGACAAAGUAUUCAGUGUUUUGGCAUUGAAAAUAAAAGAUUAAUCAAGCGUUUCUUAUGUUACGGAAGUCAUGACACCUGAGAUAUCCAUUCUGAUUCUCAGAAAGACAGAGGGGUUCCACAGAUUCUAAGCGGAAAUGGCCUUUGUUGCUGGAUACUGUGUGGAAUAACAGUUUUAAGU
RNAcentral lists this long non-coding RNA (377 nucleotides) under Sinocyclocheilus anshuiensis. RNAcentral's name for it is "lncRNA (ENSSANG00000049420.1)". The record is from RNAcentral. Lineage: Eukaryota; Metazoa; Chordata; Actinopteri; Cypriniformes; Cyprinidae.